Long non-coding RNA from Phascolarctos cinereus (koala), 3729 nucleotides. RefSeq lists it as uncharacterized. NCBI's taxonomy places the organism in Eukaryota, Metazoa, Chordata, Mammalia, Diprotodontia, Phascolarctidae. The record is from RefSeq and is a predicted model, not a curated record.
CACACCUGCCCUCUCUUCCCCUGGGCCACAUCCGGGAAACAAUGAGAGCCGUCUCCCGCCCCACCCCCAGCCUCAGAUUUCCCCUAGGAAGAACCAGCAGGCUCUAGGAGGUCACCUAUGCAUGAUUUUGAAAUACUUAAAGUCUCAUGUAGGUAUUAGGCUCAUCGGUUUAUAAGUGGAAGGCACCAUUUUACAGUCCACUCCAUAUGGCAUUCUAUAUAUAAGACUGAUCUGCAGAGAAGUCAGGAACCUCAGCUACUCUCUAAUAGAGUAUCCCCUCAUCUACCCACCUCACAGUACUCUACUCUGGAGCCAAUGAAAUAAUAGGUGCCAGGUUAAGAAUCUGAAGAAAGAGGCAUAUCAUUUAGGAUCAACACAGCCAGAAACAACUCCCACUGAGGUUUGGGAACAUGAAGAUAGGAGAGAUGAAGAGGCCAAAAAGAACAAGACCAAACCAAUGAAAGCCACUGAAGCCAAGACUGCCUUCUGGGAGUAGGGAAGGAGGUCACCAGACUUGCAUUCGAAUGCAAAAAUACCAGGAAGAGAUUAUUAAUCUUAAGGAUUAUUAUUCCUAGCAAGGAAAUGACCUUUGAUUAGGAGAAAUGAUCACCAUGUUGUACCUAAUAAUAAGUAAAAAGCAAGUCAAGAUGGAUUGCCAUCGUUUUAAGUUUGUACCUAAUCACAAGUGGAUAAUGAUUAUAUUAUAUAGAUAAUAUGGUUUUAAAUGUUAAAAGGCAAAGCUCCUCAGGACUCACUCCCAUACCAUAGCAGUUAAGGAUUAAACUAAAGCAAUACAGCAAAAUUCUAGGUCUUUGGGAAAAACCAAGUUAAGAGUAAUAUACUCAUCAUCUACUUGGAGUCCUCUCGUACUUAUUGUUAACAAAUCCUAACAGGCUCAAAGAUUUGCAGUGUUAAGCAAUGCAUUGUGCUAGGCUUUAAGGCAAGCCCCCUCCCACCCCCCACCCAGUUCAAAUUCUACCUGAGACUUUACACUAAAUUUGUGAUUUAAUAAAGGAAGUUCUUCUUUAAUAAAGGAAGUUCCAAACUAAAUGAAAUAAAAAAUCCUUGAUGUGCAUUAUUGACAUACCUGGAUCACAGGUGAGUAUCCUUAACAUUCAUCAAAAUCUUAGGCCAUGAACAGAUUUUUUUAAAAAGACCAAUUAAUUUCACAGCAGUGAUCUGUUUUAAUUUCAUAUUUAACAUAGCAUAUAUUUUAAUGAUAUUUAAAGGAAUAAAUCAUAUAUAAGAAAUUAGUAAGGUUAAAGACAUUAGAAAUUUUUUAAGCCAAUCAAUCGUGUUUUCAACAAGAAUAGGUUUUAUUAUAAGAAACUUAAAUGACAUCAAGUAAAAAUGCAAAAUUGUGCAAUUAUGGCAAAAUGUUUAAAAAUUCCACACGUUUCCCCCACCCCGCUCCCGCCCCAACCCCCCACCCCGGACUACAGUACUUCUUACUACAUACCUGAGCACUGAACAUUGAACGCCAUUUUAAACUGCCUUAAAACAGUGAAUUUGAUGCCUUACAGACCACAUCCACCUAGUCUCAUGCACCACUGCAAUCAGUUUGAGACUUAAAUCUAACGUCAGCUGUGUACCAUAACAAAUGAAGAUGGAAAACAGAUUUCAACUUCACUUUCCUGUAAAGUCUUAGUUCACAUUUUCUAAAUAUAUCGGAAGAUGCUGUAUAAAUAAUCUUUCAACACAACCCUAACUUGUAAUUCUAUAGUGCUUAUGGUACCUUUUACCAAUUUUCUCCCCACACUAUGAAAAUUUACCUGAAAAAUCUAACUAGAGAGCAAAAACCAUCACCAAUCCAACUUUAAGGCCUUCUUUUGAAAGCUUUUAAAAGUGGCAAAAGGUCCCAGCUAGAUUAUUGUUUAGACAAGAAUUAUGCACACCUACAAUUCAACAGGUUUCAUUUCCAUGGCAAGUUGCAGGCUUUAGCUUUUGAAUACGCUAUCAUCUCAGAUCGUACCCUCAGCAUAAAUGGAUAAAACAAAAACAACAACAACAGAAGUUGUAUUUUAGUGCAGAUCAACAAAAUUAACUUACUGUAGGGUUAACUACAGCAUGUUGUACUCCUAUACAAUCAUAUGAUCAGUCAAUUGCUAAAUCAAAUGUUCUAGGUCAUGUUUUCAAGUAAUAUGCUGAAAAUUUUGUUCCACUAAAUAAAUACCGAUUGUCAAAAAGCAGCAGGAAAUCUAAAUAGUCAACCAAGCCUUUAAAACAAAAAACUAACACUUUUUGCAAGGACAGUUUGUAUAGACUAAUGCAACACUGUAAGGAAGGGUGCUUCAAAAAGCUUGCAGAUAGAGCCCUAUGCAAAACUAUACAUUUUACACAAAGAAUAAGAAAAACUGGGGAGGAGGGAUGGGAAAUGAACAUUUUAAUUGACUGACUUGUACUUCAAAAAAAAAUUGCAACAAAACAGCAUUGUAACAAACACCAAGAAAGCACAUGUCUUGCUUUCUAGGACUCCACUCUAAAAUGUAACUCUAUAAAUGCCAUCAACCUUAAAAUCUGCUUCGGAAAACUCCCAUUACUUAUACAUCUCUCCAAGAAGCAGUUUGGUAAGUUUCUGGAAAAUGAGGUAUGUGAUGCAAGGAGGCAAUGCUAAAAAAUUUUUUGUUUCACAGUAUCACAUUAAAAUUUGUGCAAUAUUUAAAUAAGAACUAUGUCAGUUUGCUUUCUUUAAAGAUAAAAAUUGCUCAUGUGAUAAGGACAGAUUCUGGAUUAUGCUUAACUGCUAUGGUCAACUUGUCUAAAGACUAUAAAAAAUAAGUUACUGAUCCAAAUAUCUGCCUUAUUUAAAUAUUACAAAUGAAUUGUUCUUCUUCACUUGAACGUACUUAGAUUAGUGCUAGAAAUUUGUCAAAUAUAAAGAAUGACACUUGGAAUCUAAAGAUGCAAUUAUGUUAUGACUGAUUUAAAAAAAUUAGAUAUCAAACUCUUCACUUUUUUUUCCUCCUUUUCAAGCCCCUUCAACCAAGCAGAGGCUAACCCUAGGAAAAGGAUCUAGUUUUCAUAAAUUUGAUGUUAAAUAUAUAAAAACAGAAAAAAGAAAAAACUCAAGUUAAAAAUUUUUAAGUUCACUAUGUCUCUUUCUUUAAAAAAAAACUAUCAAAAAUAAGGCCAAUUCUCACAUUAUCUUCUGUGGAGAACAGACACAACAUUUUUUCGAUGUUAGGAUGAAUUGAAAUGGAGGAAUAAGGACAAGCCAAAUGUCAGAUCUACUAAGUAGUUUUGGAACCAAAUUCACGCAAAAAAGACAAAAACAAAAACUAUAAAGCUCUCAAUUUUCCGAAAAUAAGAAUGAGAGAAAUUCAAAUCAACAAAUGGCCGUAUUCUGCUAUCAUUUUAAAUGCAGAAUCCCACUCAAAUCAAGAGGUCUACAGAUGAUAUAUUCUGGCCAUAAAACCAGCAGACCACUUUGAAAGACAAGCACAGUCAGGCCAGGUAACAUUACCUGGCCACACGAAAAUGGAAGUAUACUAGCACCAGCCGCCUUUGGGUUUAAAAGCCCUUUACCAGAUUAUUAUCUUUGUCUCCCCCAAACAAGACAAGUGUUAGCACUUAAAAACAUUUUGCUGCCAGAAAAUCGCUAACUUAUAUCAUUAAGUUGACUUAAAUUCCACAUAGGAAAUGUCAAUUACCCAAAACAGCUUUUUUUUUCUGAGAUUAAUAUUUUCUCAAAACUUAUUGUAACAGCUGAACAUAUAACAAACACCUCAG